AAAAAGAUAAGCUAAGGUAAGCUAGUGGGUUCAUACCUCAUUUAUAAAGGUAUGAGACUCCUUUUCUUUUUA
RNAcentral lists this transfer RNA (72 nucleotides) under Xylosandrus germanus. RNAcentral describes it as "tRNA-Met". It matches the Rfam family "tRNA". From Rfam's summary of the family: Transfer RNA (tRNA) molecules are approximately 80 nucleotides in length. The record is from RNAcentral. Lineage: Eukaryota; Metazoa; Arthropoda; Insecta; Coleoptera; Curculionidae.